Molecule: ribosomal RNA, 775 nt
Filed under: uncultured Neocallimastigales
Lineage: Eukaryota; Fungi; Neocallimastigomycota; Neocallimastigomycetes; Neocallimastigales
Description: partial large subunit ribosomal RNA
Rfam family: Eukaryotic large subunit ribosomal RNA
Source: RNAcentral
UCAGACGAUGCGUCAUGCAUAUCAAUAAGCGGAGGAAAAGAAACUAACUAGGAUUCCCUCAGUAACGGCGAGUGAAGCGGGAAGAGCUCAAAUUUGAAAUCUUAAAGGGUUUCCCUUUACGAAUUGUAGUUUAAAGAAGUGUUUUCUGUUAGAGUUUCGGUAAAAGUUCUUUGGAAUAGGACGUCAUAGAGGGUGAGAAUCCCGUAUUUGACCGUUAUUUCUAGCUUUGUGAUACACUUUCAAAGAGUCGGAUUGCUUGGGAAUGCAGUCCAAAAUGGGUGGUAAAUUUCAUCUAAAGCUAAAUAUUGGCGAGAGACCGAUAGCGAACAAGUACCGUGAGGGAAAGAUGAAAAGAACUUUGAAAAGAGAGUUAAACAGUACGUGAAAUUGUCAAAAGGGAAGCGUUUGACACCAGUGUUGUUUUCUCGAAAAUCAAUUAAAAAAGGCAGGAUUUUGUGUUGUAUUGACUUUAUCAGCUUUCUGCACUCUUUUCUUGUCUUUUUUUAAUGCACUUUUCGUUUAACAAGUCAACAUCAAUUUCUUUUGUUGUAAAAGGGUCAUUGGAAGGUGGCUUUCUUUUCGGAGAAAGUGUUUAUAGCCUUUGGCCUCUGCAAUCGGAGAGAUUGAGGUCUGCAGCGUAGAUCCUUCGGGGUUAGAUACAUUUGUGCUAAGUUAUAGCCUUUCAUAGACAACUUGUUGACUAUGAUCAGUCAUGUAGCUUACUCGCUUAUGCUAUUUUACCUACGCUUAGGAUGUUGAUCUACAGAGCGAGAGU